RNAcentral lists this ribosomal RNA (468 nucleotides) under uncultured bacterium. RNAcentral's name for it is "partial 16S ribosomal RNA". It matches the Rfam family "Bacterial small subunit ribosomal RNA", at positions 28 to 507 of the family's 1533-position model. The record is from RNAcentral.
GACGAACGCUGGCGGCGUGCUUAACACAUGCAAGUCGAACGGAAAGGCCCUGCUUUUGUGGGGUGCUCGAGUGGCGAACGGGUGAGUAACACGUGAGUAACCUGCCCUUGACUUUGGGAUAACUUCAGGAAACUGGGGCUAAUACCGGAUAGGAGCUCCUGCUGCAUGGUGGGGGUUGGAAAGUUUCGGCGGUUGGGGAUGGACUCGCGGCUUAUCAGCUUGUUGGUGGGGUAGUGGCUUACCAAGGCUUUGACGGGUAGCCGGCCUGGGAGGGUGACCGGCCACAUUGGGACUGAGAUACGGACCAGACUCCUACGGGAGGCAGCAGUGGGGAAUAUUGCAGAAUGGGCGGAAGCCUGAUGCAGCAACGCCGCGUGCGGGAUGACGGCCUUCGAGUUGUAAACCGCUUUCGCCUGUGACGAAGCGUGAGUGACGGUAAUGGGUAAAGAAGCACCGGCUAACUACGUG